Molecule: ribosomal RNA, 253 nt
Filed under: uncultured bacterium
Lineage: Bacteria
Description: partial 16S ribosomal RNA
Rfam family: Bacterial small subunit ribosomal RNA
Source: RNAcentral
UACGUAGGGCGCAAGCGUUGUCCGGAAUUAUUGGGCGUAAAGAGCUCGUAGGCGGCCUGUUACGUCUGCUGUGAAAUCCCGGGGCUUAACCCCGGGCGUGCAGUGGAUACGGGCAGGCUGGAGGCAGGCAGGGGAGAACGGAAUUCCCGGUGUAGCGGUGAAAUGCGCAGAUAUCGGGAGGAACACCAAUGGCGAAGGCAGCUCGCUGGGACGGUACUGACGCUGAGACGCGAAAGCGUGGGGAGCAAACAGG